This 401-nucleotide ribosomal RNA is filed under the name uncultured soil bacterium. RNAcentral's name for it is "bacterial SSU rRNA". It matches the Rfam family "Bacterial small subunit ribosomal RNA", at positions 26 to 445 of the family's 1533-position model. The record is from RNAcentral.
AGAGCGAACGCUGGCGGCAGGCCUAACACAUGCAAGUCGAACGGACCCUUCGGGGUUAGUGGCGGACGGGUGAGUAACACGUGGGAACGUGCCUUUUGGUUCGGAAUAGCUCCUGGAAACGGGUGGUAAUGCCGAAUGUGCCCUUCGGGGGAAAGAUUUAUCGCCAUUAGAGCGGCCCGCGUCUGAUUAGCUAGUUGGUAAGGUAAUGGCUUACCAAGGCGACGAUCAGUAGCUGGUCUGAGAGGAUGACCAGACCACAUGGGACUGAGACACGGCCAACCUACCUACGGGAGGCAGACAGUAGGGAAGUCUUGCGCAAGUGGGACGGAAGCCUGAACGGCACGGACCAUAGCCGCGUAGAAUGAUACGGUAAAGGUUACGUUAAGGUAUUUAAGUUAAAA